Molecule: non-coding RNA, 445 nt
Organism: Pelobates cultripes (western spadefoot toad)
Lineage: Eukaryota; Metazoa; Chordata; Amphibia; Anura; Pelobatidae
Source: the annotation of a GenBank genome assembly
AUGGACGAAGGUGAAGAUAAUUUCUGAUGUGGCAAACAGGCAAUCACUCCAUCUGACCACACACCCACUGGGAGCUGAUGGAGUGAUUGCCUGUUUGCCACAUCAGAAAUUAUCUUCACCUUCGUCCAUCUCAUCAUCUGAUUACUACUUUACUCUGACUGUGUAUACCAGGAAAAAUACUUCUACAUUGGUGAGAUCCACCCAUAUACAGCUACAUAUAGUGCACUAUAUUUUGGACUACCAGGACUCUUUUAUAUAUUGUUUUUUUUUUUUGUUUUUUUUCUUCUUUUCUUUUUUCUUUUUUUCUUUCCGUUUUUUUCACUGGAUUUGGGAUUUAAAUUUUUCAAUUUUUUUUUCUAUAUUUUUCAAUUUUUUCAAAUUUUCUCGAUUAUAAGGAUCAUUACCAAGUGUAUAUACAUUAGAUGAUCUUUACCCCACACACGGG